Molecule: small RNA, 643 nt
Filed under: human gut metagenome
Source: RNAcentral
UGUGGGUGGCGCAGUAUUCUAGUCAGCUCGGCUCAUUCCCAGGACGGGCCUAAAAAUCCGUUGAAGGGCACAUCGAUGAAGUUUCUGGUGCUUGCUUUCGACGCCCAGUCGGGGGUUGGUGCUGGGAGUUAAGGCUUAGGGGCGGUUUGCAAUGGCAUGUGAAUAACGACCCCUUUGCCGUGGAGACCUGUUCUUGUGCUCGAAAAUGCUCGGACGAAGUUUUGGCUUUUAAAGACAUAGCAGGGUACGAAGCAGGAUUAAACCUGUUUUGCGGUGUGAACUUGCCAUGGGCAAGCAAAUGCUGUGGGCAGCGUAGCCUGCCUUGAGUGGUAUUGGCGGAUAGCGGAUCAGACACGGUUCUCUCGGCCAAGAGAACUGCGUUAUCGCUGCUUGAAACCAAUGCUGCAAAAGAGGCUAAGAAUGAGUUUGACUGUUUGGGAAAACCUCUAGACUGUUCAUUUUUUGAGACGCAUCGGGGAUUGCAGUGCGGACUUAAGUGGCGAUUCGGUGACGCGCCGGGCAACCGCGCGACGGCGGCAUGAAAGGGAAACCGCUGAUUUGGCGACAUUUCAGCUGCUGCCGGGGAAAGCCUACCGAACCUAAACCGCAAAAUUAACCCGAUGCUGUUGCCACUUUAAUCAAC